Long non-coding RNA from Myiozetetes cayanensis, 1785 nucleotides. RefSeq lists it as uncharacterized. The transcript is spliced from 2 exons. NCBI's taxonomy places the organism in Eukaryota, Metazoa, Chordata, Aves, Passeriformes, Tyrannidae. The record is from RefSeq and is a predicted model, not a curated record.
GAAAAGAAAAGGAGAAAAGAAAAGGAGAAAAGAGAAAAGAGAAAAGAAGAAGAAAAGAGAAAAGGUGUUUCAUCUCCCACGAAACUGACAGCUAAUCUAGGAUCUGUCAAUUAAUUUGUUUAUUGUACAGGACCCCAUGUACAUAACCCAGUGAAGCCUGUAUUUGGCAAGUCAAUUAAUUGAAUGCUUAUCUUGAACCAGUGAAUAGUAGAUUAAUUACUUGACUACUUAAAUGCAUGUGUUCAAACAUCUUUCUGAAACUAAGCCUAAGUCUGGAGUAAUGGGCAAAAGCACUCACAGAGUCUGGGUUAUGCAGAUGUAUGCCAUUCCUUCUGCUGCCUCCACAGGGAAGCUCUUCUCCGCUGGAAUAUGCAAGUUGUCAAUGGAAAAGGGAAGAUUCAAGUCUACAGUGGAUGGGUGUUUUCCUGAAGCCAAACUAUGAUUAUGAAAGCCUCUGACAAAUGACCCAAGAAUAAUCACUAAAGAAAAUCAGGGUUAAAUAGCAAUUACAUUUAUUUGACUUAUAAUAAUUUUCCCAUGUAGAUUUGGUCUUUGUGUUAUUGUAUGUUUAUUUAAUAGAAAACAAACUGCAAAUGAUUACAUUUUUGGCAGAACUGUUUACUUCUGAAAAGAAGGUUUACUUCAAGUCAAAACAUUUUGACAAAUAUUGUGUUAAUGUGUAAUUUCAGUAAGGUAAAUGUAUAUUUUGUUUCAUUUAGUUAAAAUAUUACUUUUAAUAGUAUAUCUUUUUGUUGCAUAUAGGAUUACAUAUUCUGUGAGGCAAAAAUAUAUGUUCUGAAGUACCACGAGUAAGUUCUUUGGUUUUUUGACUUUUUAAUUCUGAGCUCAAAGUGUUCGUUUUCAUACAAAAACAAAACCAAUCAAAUAUGUAACUGCAUGUUUGGUAAAUUUUCUUCAGUCAAACCAAAGAAUAUUCUAUACCCGCAUUAGAAAGAAAUCAAGAAAGUUCUUGCUGGAAAUCCUUCAUAAUUCCCAUGCUACUUCAAGAAUUUUACAGGGAAAUUGAAGGAUAUAUUUGUACAGUAUAUUGCACUAUAAACCUUGAACUUGGUUGACAUCUCAAUAUUGUGAUAUGCAUGUAUAAUAAUAAUGUUUUAUAACAUUUGCUAUGAUAAAACAAUAAGCUUUGCAUUAGCUUUUGCGCAAUAUGCACUGUAUUUCCUACCACUCAGCUUUGAAAUGUAGAGGUUCAUUAGGUCUAUCAGUAAUAUAUGAUACAACAAAAACAUAUUUACUCAGAUCAGUAGGUAUCCAGGGGUAAGGGAUGACAGCAUGGGGUAGCACUUGCUGUUCUAUCUUUAAGCCUAUAUAUUUUUUUUUAUUUUUCUAAGGAAGGCUCUACAGUCCCAGUCAUAAGGCAAAGAAAACUGUCAAAGUAUAUAUGUACAGAAGAAAAAAGUUAAGAAAGAUAAGGCAUUGGAAGUGAAGGCUGCAUAUGAGGUUUAACUCCAAAACCAUGGACGGUAUUUAAUGGUAGGAAGUAUUUUUGUUUUCCAUGUCAGCCAAAUGUGACUAAAGCGUACAUGCAUGUCUGUAGGAUCUGUCUAAUUUGCACAGUAUUGGACUCGAAAUAAGUGAUGAUGACUGAAAAAGAUGUUAUUCUAGCACUUAACUUCUUAUUCCAGUUAGACUCUAAGAGUGCCUCUGUCAGCUUCUAUGAGCCAAGACACCUACAUGAUGAUGUUUCUUUUCUUUGAGAAUGCACUGUGAAAAUCUGGAUGUAAAGCCAUUAAUGCUUUUAAUUAAAUUAAUGCUUUUCAUGCC